RNAcentral lists this long non-coding RNA (1204 nucleotides) under Marmota monax (woodchuck). The record is from RNAcentral. Lineage: Eukaryota; Metazoa; Chordata; Mammalia; Rodentia; Sciuridae.
AAAAUUCAUUCCUUUUUGACUGUCCCUAUAUGAGCUCAUGGAUUUUUUUCCCUCACCCCUCACAUUCCUGUUUAUUUUUUAAACAUCUUAAUGAUCUUUUUUCCCACAUAUAUACAUAAAUCUACGUGCACAUAACUGAAUAGAUUGGAGACCAAACCUUCACUAUGCAACAGACCACACGACUACUCAGAAAAACACUGCUCCCACAGUCAGCCCCCUCUCCUCCUAAAUCAUCAGCUUUUAACUUACACAUUGUUCUCAUGCCCUUACAUGCACAUAAUUUAUUCCAUUCUAAAAUCCCCUUCCCUAUCUCCAUCAGUGACUUCAUCUUCCAUUUCUCUUUGGAUUUUUCCAUAAAUACUUCUUAGAUUCCUUCUUAGUCAUCUCUUCCCACUCACACAUAAACCUAUUCCCAUCAGGCUUUUGCUCUCACCAAUCACCAAAAUAGCUUUCUCAAGGUCACCAGUGACCACCCUAUUGCUUUUUGUAAUGAUCAAAGUUCACUCAUCAUCUUAUUUGAUUGAUCUAUCUGCAGUACUACACUCGGUUAAUCACUCCUCCUGCUGGGGAACAUUUUCUUGCUUACUCUUUCAGAAUACAACAUUCUCUUCUUUUGGUUUGCUUGUUUCUGGAUCAAAUCACCAGUUAAUGGACAUUAGGGUUGUUUUUUAUAUUUGCUAUUAUUGUUAAAAUUGUAAUGAACAUCAUAUAUAAUUGUUUUAUAGACAUAUGUUUCAUCUAUCUGGGAUAUUGCUAUGCUAUGUGACAAAUUUAUGUCUAACACUACAAAACAUUGCCAAGCCACAAACAUACAUUGGAGAAAAGUAGCCUCUUCAAUAAAUGGUGCUAGGAAAACUGGAAAUCCAUAUGUAGGAGAAUGAAAUAGAACUGCUGUCUCUUACCUUGACAACUCAAAGUGGAUCAAGAGCCUAGGCAUGACAACAAAGACCCUGUGCCUACUAGAAGAAAAAGUAGGCCCAACUCUCCAUCAUGUCAACUUAAGAACUAACUUUCUCAACAAGAUUCCUAUGCUGAAGAAAUUAAAAUCAAGGAUCAAGAAAUGGGAUGGUAUCAAACUAAAACCUUCUUCACAACAAAGGAAACAAUAAUGUGAAGACAGCCUACAGAAUGGGACAGAAUCUUUGCCACUUGCACCUCAGAUAGAGCAUUAAUCUCCAGGAUAUAAAAAGCCUGAAAAAACAUC